This 64-nucleotide transfer RNA is filed under the name marine eukaryotic metagenome. It matches the Rfam family "tRNA", at positions 6 to 65 of the family's 71-position model. From Rfam's summary of the family: Transfer RNA (tRNA) molecules are approximately 80 nucleotides in length. Their secondary structure includes four short double-helical elements and three loops (D, anti-codon, and T loops). Further hydrogen bonds mediate the characteristic L-shaped molecular structure. tRNAs have two regions of fundamental functional importance: the anti-codon, which is responsible for specific mRNA codon recognition, and the 3' end, to which the tRNAs corresponding amino acid is attached (by aminoacyl-tRNA synthetases). tRNAs cope with the degeneracy of the genetic code in two manners: having more than one tRNA (with a specific anti-codon) for a particular amino acid; and 'wobble' base-pairing, i.e. permitting non-standard base-pairing at the 3rd anti-codon position. The record is from RNAcentral.
CAUAGCUCAGUUGGUUAGAGCGUCGCGUUGUGGCCGCGAAGGUCGUGGGUUCGAAUCCCAUUGG